This 423-nucleotide small RNA is filed under the name Pongo abelii (Sumatran orangutan). RNAcentral's name for it is "processed transcript". Lineage: Eukaryota; Metazoa; Chordata; Mammalia; Primates; Hominidae. The record is from RNAcentral.
GCCGAGGGCCUGCUGCAGGAGGCGCUAGACAAGGAUAGUGGCUACCCGGAGACGCUGGUCAACCUCAUCGUCCUGUCCCAGCACCUGGGCAAGCCCCCUGAGGUCAGAGCCACCGUGGGGUCCCCGUGUUCGGCUCACCUGCCUCCCUGCCUCCCCUGCAGGUGACAAACCGAUACCUGUCCCAGCUGAAGGACGCCCACAGGUCCCAUCCCUUCAUCAAGGAGUACCAGGCCAAGGAGAACGACUUUGACAGGCUGGUGCUACAGUACGCUCCCAGCGCCUGAGGCUGGCUCAGAGCUGUCAGGACCACGAAGCCAGGACAGAGGCCAGGAGCCCUGCAGCCCUUCCCACCUGGCAUCCACCCCUCUGGGGGCAGGAGCCCACCCUCAGCACCCCCAUCUGUUAAUAAAUAUCUCAACUCCA